AUUGAACGCUGGCGGCAGGCCUAACACAUGCAAGUCGAACGGUAACAGAAAGAAGCUUGCUUCUUUGCUGACGAGUGGCGGACGGGUGAGUAAUGUCUGGGAAACUGCCUGAUGGAGGGGGAUAACUACUGGAAACGGUAGCUAAUACCGCAUAACGUCGCAAGACCAAAGAGGGGGACCUUCGGGCCUUUUGCCAUCGGAUGUGCCCAGAUGGGAUUAGCUAGUAGGUGGGGUAACGGCUCACCUAGGCGACGAUCCCUAGCUGGUCUGAGAGGAUGACCAGCCACACUGGAACUGAGACACGGUCCAGACUCCUACGGGAGGCAGCAGUGGGGAAUAUUGCACAAUGGGCGCAAGCCUGAUGCAGCCAUGCCGCGUGGAUGAAGAAGGCCUUCGGGUUGUAAAGUACUUUCAGCGGGGAGGAAGGGAGUAAAGUUAAUACCUUUGCUCAUUGACGUUACCCGCAGAAGAAGCACCGGCUAACUCCGUG
Molecule: ribosomal RNA, 490 nt
Filed under: uncultured bacterium
Lineage: Bacteria
Description: partial 16S ribosomal RNA
Rfam family: Bacterial small subunit ribosomal RNA
Source: RNAcentral